This 2169-nucleotide ribosomal RNA is filed under the name Triticum aestivum (bread wheat). Its description in RNAcentral is "partial small subunit ribosomal RNA". Lineage: Eukaryota; Viridiplantae; Streptophyta; Magnoliopsida; Poales; Poaceae. The record is from RNAcentral.
AUGGCCACGGCGGCGCACAAGCCCCUGGCCGCGAUCACCGCCGACGACCUCGCUGCGGCGGGGGCGGCGGAGCCCGCCGCGCUCCACUCGGCGGUCCGCAGCGCGCUCGGCGCCGCCAGCGGCCGCGGGCCCGCCGCGGUGUGGGGGGAGCUCUCCCGGGGCGUGCUUCGCCCGGGACUGCCCUUCGCCGUCCACCGGAUGCUCUACUACGGCUGCUACGCCGGGUCCCCGUCCACCACGCCGCCCGCCUGGACGCCCGACCCCGACGAGGCCGCCCUGACCAAUGUUGGCCGCGUCCUGGAGGCGCGCGGGAGUGAGAUCAUCGGCCAAGCGUACAAGGACCCAAUCACCAGCUUCCGGGACUUCCACAAGUUCUCCAACGAGAAUCCAGAGGCAUAUUGGAAGAUGGUCUUCGAGGAGAUGGGCAUCACAUUCAGCGUGGCCCCAUCCUGCAUCUUGCGUGACAGUGAUGCGUACCCCGGUGGCGAAUGGUUGCCAGGGGCUGUGCUGAAUGCUGCUGCGAAUUGCCUGACUGCUAAACCUGGAAGAACUCCCAGCAACGUUGCCAUUGUGUGGAGGGAUGAGGGGAAGGAUUCCGAGCCCCUCAACUUUGUGACUGUGGAGGAGUUGAGGAAAAAAAGUAGCCUCGUGGCAAAUGCGCUCGAUGCACUUAAUCUGGCAAAGGGAUCUGCUAUUGCAAUUGACAUGCCUAUGAAUGUGAAUGCUGUUACUAUCUACCUCGCGAUCGUGUUAGCAGGGUACAUUGUUGUCUCGAUUGCAGACAGCUUUGCUGCACCUGCAAUAUCAAUGAGGCUAAAGAUUUCAGAGGCAAAAGCAAUUUUCACCCAGGAUUGCAUCCUUCGUGAUGACAAGGAACUUCCAUUGUAUAGUAGAGUUGUGGAGGCCAAAGCCCCUAUGGCUAUCGUGAUCCCUGCAAGGGGAUCAUCAACAUCUAUAAAAGGAUUCCGUGCUGAUGACCUUUCCUGGGAAGAUUUUCUUGGAAGGGCUGAUCAUACUAAGGCUGAUAUUUAUACCACAGUAGAGCAACCUGCCUACCAGUUCAGUAAUAUCCUAUUUUCAUCGGGGACCACAGGAGAGCCAAAGGCGAUUCCGUGGACACAUUUGACCCCUCUUAAGGCAGCUGCUGAUGGAUGGUGUCACAUGGAUAUUCGUAAAGGUGAUGUUGUUGCGUGGCCUACAAACCUUGGUUGGAUGAUGGGUCCCUGGCUUGUCUAUGCCUCACUAUUGAAUGGAGCAUCCAUGGCGCUGUAUAAUGGCUCCCCGAAUAGUUCAGGUUUUGCAAAGUUUGUACAGGAUGCUAAGGUGACAAUGCUUGGAGUGGUACCCAGCAUUGUUCGCACAUGGAAAAGUACAGAUUGUACUGCAGGAUUUGAUUGGUCAACCAUCAGAUGCUUUAGCUCAACUGGGGAGGCAUCAAGUGUGGAUGAUUAUUUGUGGCUGAUGGGAAGAGCUUGCUACAAGCCAGUAAUCGAGUACUGUGGUGGCACAGAAAUUGGUGGUGGAUUUAUUACUGGAUCCCUGUUGCAACCUCAAGCAUUGUCAGCAUUCAGUACACCUGCCAUGGGUUGCAACCUGUUUAUUCUUGACAGCAAUGGGAAUCCCCUACCACAGGAUUCUGCUGGUAUUGGAGAACUUGCGCUUGAUCCAACAUUAUUUGGGUCAUCAACGACACUGCUAAAUGCUGAUCAUCAUGAGGUGUACUUCAGUGGAAUGCCAGAAUGGAAUGCGAAAGUCCUCCGGAGGCAUGGCGAUGAAUUUGAACGUACCACAGAAGGAUAUUAUAGGGCUCAUGGGCGUGCAGAUGAUACAAUGAACCUUGGUGGCAUUAAGGUCAGUUCCAUCGAGAUUGAGAGGAUCUGCAACAGGGUGAAUGAUGCCAUUCUUGAAACUGCGGCUAUUGGGGUUCCACCUGUAGGGGGCGGCCCCGAACAGUUGACCAUAGCCGUCGUAUUCAAAGAUCAAAGUCCGCAAGCAGAAGAUUUGAACCAACUGAAACUAAUGUUCAACUCUGCUCUGAAGAAAUUGAAUCCUCUUUUCAAGGUUUCAUCGGUCGUUGUGGUGCCAUCGCUCCCUCGAACCGCCUCAAACAAGGUCAUGAGGAGAGUCCUACGCAAGGAGUUCACCCAGGCAAAGCACUCUAAAAUCUAG